UUCUUCAAGGAGUAAGCACUCACCAAGCCCAUCGAAGAAGCCUCACCAAGGUGUGGUAUGAGACUGAGAGGCAGGGAUGGUAAACUUCCUCCUCCUUUUUUCUGGGUGCACCUGCAUGAAGCUUUUGUCCUAUUUCAGUGCAGCUGGGCACCUGAAUCCAGCUAACCCCAUCCCACGCGGACCUAACACACUAGCACAGGUAGAAACAGAACGUAAUUUGAGAAAGUGCUCUUUUCUGUCUCCUGUCUAAAUGUUGAUUCUUCAUGAAAAAAGAUUCUAAAUCAUCCUAUGCCUGAGAUGCUUGUGUGUGAAUUUGGGUGAAUGUGUAAGAUAUGUAAAGCCAAGGCUAAGGUGACGGCGUUCACAAUCCAAGUCUUGGUAUGCUGUUGCAAUCUGAUCUCAGCAUAUAUUGUGCGAGAUAAUUGGUGUAGCUUGGCUUCACAUCUAGUGUUAGGCUGAGCAGAAAGAUGAAGAUACUGAGCAAAUGAAGGUAAAGCCAAGAAGAUUUCUGUUAAUGUCACUGGAAGUACAUUUGUGCAUAGAAUGACCAUGCAAAUGUGAUGUUUCUCUCUGUCAAUCAUUUACUCUUAUUCUUUCUAGGCAUUAGAAUUUUGUCUUUUGUUUCUUGUGAUUCAUGAGAAAAAUAUCUGUCAUCAAACAGUUUACAAUUACUGGACAAUGUUCUCGUCACUGUCAUCUGGGACAUGGGAGAUUACUCCUGUUGUGGACAGAGAUGACUGAAAAGUCUUUUAACAUUGUUUGAUCUGUCUCUCCCAAAGGUAGAGUGAGUUCUUUUAACUGUACUACUAUAUAUAAGCAUAUAUUCAGAGAGCAGUAGAAGAAGGAGUAAGGAAACAACUGCUAGAGAAAACAAAUAGGAAGAAAAGUGGAUGAUGCCCGCUUUGAGUAGUUCUACAGUGGGGAGAAUGAGUCCUAAGACACUAAGGAGUUUAAACCUACUCUGCGUUAUUUCUGGGCUCACUGCAAAGCCCAUUUACAGCAGAGACUUUACAUCAACUAUAACACAGUUCAGACUGGAUUUUCAGUUAAAGGAUUAUGUAUGGAAGUGUGAGAUGUUGAUCUUGUCAAUAAAAUCUCACAACCUCUGUGUGCAGCAGAGCAUGACUUUGGAUAUCAUCAGCAAAGAAUGUGUGCUUCUCCCAAGAGGUGAUUUGCUUUCCCACCAUGAAAAUGCAAUGUUGGUAGUAGAAAAUGGAAACUGUGAAAAAUUACCAAGAAUACAGGUGCAUUGCAAUAAAACCUCAGCAAACAGAUGGGAGUUUUAAAAAUCCUGAUGUUAAUGACACUCUUUGUUUCUUUUCAUCUGCCAGAGCAUCCUUGUGGCGCACCUUUUUAGUUCUAUUGCAAAUUUUUAACCACUUCUAAUUAAGAUUAGAUUGAAUCCCACCAGUUGUAAGUAAAUCCUCAAGCUCACUGUCCAAGUGAACUCCAUGAAGAUGCCAAAACUUCUAGUGGUUAGGAUUAAUCUA
This is a long non-coding RNA of Tympanuchus pallidicinctus (lesser prairie-chicken), 1490 nucleotides long. RefSeq lists it as uncharacterized. The transcript is spliced from 3 exons. The record is from RefSeq and is a predicted model, not a curated record. Lineage: Eukaryota; Metazoa; Chordata; Aves; Galliformes; Phasianidae.